Molecule: ribosomal RNA, 253 nt
Filed under: uncultured bacterium
Lineage: Bacteria
Description: partial 16S ribosomal RNA
Rfam family: Bacterial small subunit ribosomal RNA
Source: RNAcentral
UACGUAGGGUGCAAGCGUUAUCCGGAAUUAUUGGGCGUAAAGAGCUCGUAGGCGGUUUGUCGCGUCUGCUGUGAAAACUGGAGGCUCAACCUCCAGCCUGCAGUGGGUACGGGCAAACUAGAGUGCGGUAGGGGAGAUUGGAAUUCCUGGUGUAGCGGUGGAAUGCGCAGAUAUCAGGAGGAACACCGAUGGCGAAGGCAGCUCGCUGGGACGGUACUGACGCUGAGGCGCGAAAGCGUGGGGAGCAAACAGG